Molecule: small nuclear RNA, 102 nt
Organism: Ochotona princeps (American pika)
Lineage: Eukaryota; Metazoa; Chordata; Mammalia; Lagomorpha; Ochotonidae
Source: Ensembl
GUGCUCAUUUUGGCAGCAAAUAUACUAAAAUUGGAAUGACACAGAGGAGAUAAGCAUGGCCCCUGAGCAAGGAUGACACGCAAAUUUGCAUUCUGUAUUUUU